Tetranychus urticae (two-spotted spider mite) is the source of this 2551-nucleotide non-coding RNA. The record is from RefSeq and is a predicted model, not a curated record. Lineage: Eukaryota; Metazoa; Arthropoda; Arachnida; Trombidiformes; Tetranychidae.
GAAAUGUUGAAAUAAUAUAAUCUAAAACAGUAAAAAUGGAAACAUGACUACAAUUACGCAGUUAUCAAAAUUAUUAAAAAGAGACGAUAUUUUAAAAGAUUAGCCAUUUGUUGGGAUUUGUUUAUCGAUAGACGGAUCAAGUCUUUGUCAAUAUCUUGAUCAUUGAUCUAUCACUUGUUGCCUCUUUAAACAGGUGUAAUCAAUAGGUCUUAUCAAUUUUAAUUUUAGCCUUAACAUGUGAGUUUGUAUAAACGUUUUUUUUUAUUCCCCUUUAAAUCUUGAAUCGGUUUUCAUUUCUUGUCACCAACAUUGAUCUUUUCCCUGAAGGGCCUUUUAAGGUUAUCACAAACAUCAGUGAAUUCCGGAUUCGAAUGGAUUGAACCAACCAAUGCUAACUUUUAUAUUUUAAAAUGUGAUAAAAAGAUGAAAAGUGAACGGAAUUUGACUCUUUUCUUGUUUUUCAGGUCACCUCAUUAUUUGUAUCAACAUCUUCUAUGUUGACAGAAAACAUAGUUUUUUAAACCUCAUACUUAUCAUGCUUGCCUAUUUCCUCCAGGCAAUUUAGACAAAUCAAGAUUAUCUUCAAGAGACAAACCCAUGGAAGUAGACCCUGUCUACCAAAAAAGUAACUGGAUUAAUCCGGUUGAUUAAGCUUUCAUUAAAACAGUAAACCAGAGAAAGAGAUAGAAAGGCCUAGAUGAAUCUAAAAUUACGCCAACUUUACAUGGUUACGUGAUCUGUCUCACCUGUUUUUACUGCUAAACGUUUUUACUGUUAUUACAUCGUGUAACCACUUUUUCAAGCUCAAGCAAUGGGAUCUCGUGGAAACAGCAAAGAGCAACAGUUAACUUUACUCAGACUAAUCAAUCUUCAUUUGAUCAUUACCUGAAGUUUUAGUUAAUAUCAUCAUCAUCAUCGACAACAGCCAUCAAUAUCAAUUAGCCGACAAAUUGGCCAAAAAUCAAGUUGCAAGUUUUCUUCUUUUUCCUAAUUUGUCCAUCUCAUGUGGCAACGAUAUUUCUAGGAUUGCUGGCAAAUACUUGCACUCACAGAUAUACCAAUACAAAUCAAUGUAAAAUUAAUUGAGAAUGCUGAUGAAGAUGGAAACUCAGAUUGCCCUGGGAGCCUUGAAUCACCUUGAAAGAAUAUUUUCUGCUGGGAAAUUGAAUUAACUUGAUGAUUUGUGAUCGUCAUAAUCAUGCUUUUGCUGAAGAAAGAAAAUUAUUCUCUCCUUUCAACAUGUGGAGAUGAAUUUGUGAAGAAGCUAAGGGAACAAGCUAAUAGGACGAAAGAGCGCUAACACCAAAGAGUCAUAUUUUCUUUGAUGAUUAUAACUCGAAAACGUCAUUCUUAGGUUUCAAUCAUUUCAAGGUUAACCUGGGUUAACCUGGGAAUUGCCAGUUUAAUAUAUGAUCAUCAUUUAUCAAACAUUAAACGGUUAAAAUUUCCCUUUAAUUCAAUCUAAUAAAGGAAAUUCGACAUAUAAAGAAGACGGCCGAUAAUACACAAGAAAGGGGUUAAAACAUGCAAAAGGAAUUCCCAGCCUUUCUGGAAAAGUUCCCUGGAAAGCUAUCAAAUGAACAAUCAUAUGUACUGUUUAAAUUCAUUGAUCCAUGUUACUUGUCUACUGGAAAAGGACUGAUUAUUUCCUAAGUAGAGGAAAACAUGGAAAGAUUGGAAAAAAUCUGGAAUAACCCGAUAAUAGGAAAAGAUAUCUCCAAGGUUCGGAGGUUAUCAUGGUGAUUGUAAUAAUAGUGAUGAUGAUAGUUGGUAACAAAAUAUAACAGUCAAGUCAAACAACAAUUAACAAUGGCAAUUAACCGACACACACACACACAUUUAAUGUAAUAAAGCAAAAAGGUGAAACACAGAUAGGGAAGAUAAAGUGGUUUUUAAGAUGAUCAUCAUGCAGAAGCAAGUAAAGAUGUGACUAAUUGAUGGAAACAUUGAUACAACAAUUAACUAAGUUGUUGGUAUUUUCCCCAAACAUUGUUAACCAAAUGAUCACCAACAAGAAACUACAAACAAUCAACUUCAAUAAUCGUCAUCAUCUUGCAUCUACGGUGAAUAAUUGUUAUUAAAAAUCAAGCUUUCCAAGGGAUCAUUACCUUAUUGAGUAUUGCAAUAAACACAAAAACAAAGGUGUUUGUUUGUUAAUAUCAUCGAUUGCUAUGGUCAUACUGCAAGAUCUACCCAUAAUUAGAAUUACAAUUUAAUUGUAAUCAAAUUACCUUUAAGCUAAAAGGUAACUUAAUCAAUGACCAAAAUAACAAAAAAUAUGCGCCUUCAAUGUUUCGUAUUUACUCUGAAUGUUACAUGAUGAAUUGCUUUAUCCAUUUGAAAUGUAAUCUUUUUUUACCUUUUCAUUUGUUUCUUCAGUGAUUAACAUUUAAUUGUUAAUAUCCAGUUAUUUUAUCCUUGAUUAUGUGAUUUUUUAUGCUUUUUAACAAACAAACCUUUCACUGAUUUGAAAGCGUCAAAAACCCCUUAACGGAUUAAUCAAUUAACUGUUUUAAAUAAAUUAAUCUUUUCCAUUUUUUAAAGUGUCAAA